This 774-nucleotide ribosomal RNA is filed under the name Ammonia sp. genotype T6. RNAcentral's name for it is "SSU rRNA". It matches the Rfam family "Eukaryotic small subunit ribosomal RNA", at positions 1197 to 1624 of the family's 1831-position model. Lineage: Eukaryota; Foraminifera; Rotaliida; Rotaliidae. The record is from RNAcentral.
GACUCACGCGGGAAUCUUACCGGGUCCGGACACACUGAGGAUUGACAGAUAUAUACCCCGUGAUUUUAUCGCGGGGUUGAAAGAUGCUAGUUCUUUCAUGAUUAUGUGAUAGGUGGUGCAUGGCCGUUCUUAGUUCGUGGAGUGAUCUGUCUGCUUAAUUGCGUAUCAAUAAUAGAGACCUAGUAUACGCGUAGACUCAUGCGGUAGUGACCCCCCUUCACAGGGCGCGUGUCGCACGUAUGUUAUACGCACAGGUCUCCGAUAGCAACGAACGUGACCGUACUCUAUUGUUGCAGCGACAAUACCUUUCAACGGGUAUUACCGCUGCUUAGCAAGAUUCGUCUUGCAUUAAACUAUAGAGACCGCUGUUUCUUCUUUAAACCAGAGGAAGGAUACGGCAAUAACAGGUCUGUGAUGCCCUCAGAUGUUCCGGGCUGCACACGUGCUACAAUGAUCAUUGCACUGUGCAUCUAACCCAAUGUGCGCGGACGCCGCCGUGCGUAUAUACUUUAUUGUGUAUGCGUAUCGUGCGUGCGACCGCGCCGAACCUGCUUCGAAAGUAAACAUUUCCAGCGGGUAAUCCAUUAGAAGUAAUGACUCGCAUAGACCAUGGCACACUAUAUGUACCCGCGGGUUCUACCCGGCUCGCCUUUGUGUGAGUGCAGUGCGUAGCUCGUUGUUUGGUACGUGCCACUCCGUAUUAAUUCAUACGUGGGGAUAGAUCAUUGUUUAAUUGUUGGUCUCGGGUCUUAACUAGGAAUGCCUUGUACGGGU